This 708-nucleotide non-coding RNA is filed under the name Strongylus equinus. The record is from RNAcentral. Lineage: Eukaryota; Metazoa; Nematoda; Chromadorea; Rhabditida; Strongylidae.
UUAUUAAAGAUUGCUUUUAUAGAAUUAAAAUUUGAUUAUGGUUUAUGAAAAGUUAAAAUAAUAUUAUUUAAAUUUAAUUUAUUAAGUAGGCAAUGAAAGUUUUACCUCGGGUAAUUAUUUAUUUGUAUAAUACUUGUUCCAGAAUAAUCGGCUAGGCUUGUUAAAUUUAAACUUUAGUUUGGUUUUAUCAUAAUUUUAGUUAGUUUAAAUAAUUUAGUUUAAUUUUAGGUUAAAUUUAAAUUUUUUUUAUGUUUAUAAUUGUGAUUUUAAGUUUUGAAAAACGAAUUAGAUUAGUACCUAAUUAGUCAAAAAUUAAAAGAGCAGAAGUAAAGUUGUAUUUAAACUGAAAGAAUAUUGGCAGAUUUUCUAAAUUAUCUUUGGAGGUUGAGUAAUAAUUGAGAACCCUCAUUAACUACUUUUAUUUUGGUCUCAUGUAUGAUCGUUUAUUUUAUACUUAAGGUAUAUAAUAAAAAAUAUUAAUUUAGUAAAAUAGAUAUAUAUUUGGUUAAUAUAAAAGUUUAAUUUGACCUACAAUAAUUUAAAUUGUGGAUUUAUAUUAGUGUUUUUAUAAUGAAAAUGUAAAAGACAGUAAAAAAAUUUUUAUGAUUUUUUGAAGAUUAUUUAGAUGUGGUACAAAUCAUCCAUCAAUUGCCUAAAGGGGAGUAAGUUGUAGUAAAGUAGAUUUAGGGGAACCUUAAUCUAGUUAUU